RNAcentral lists this ribosomal RNA (1798 nucleotides) under Salmonella enterica. RNAcentral describes it as "partial 23S ribosomal RNA". It matches the Rfam family "Bacterial large subunit ribosomal RNA", at positions 711 to 2405 of the family's 2925-position model. RNAcentral also lists the same sequence under 2 other names. The record is from RNAcentral. Lineage: Bacteria; Pseudomonadati; Pseudomonadota; Gammaproteobacteria; Enterobacterales; Enterobacteriaceae.
AGACCCGAAACCCGGUGAUCUAGCCAUGGGCAGGUUGAAGGUUGGGUAACACUAACUGGAGGACCGAACCGACUAAUGUUGAAAAAUUAGCGGAUGACCUGUGGCUGGGGGUGAAAGGCCAAUCAAACCGGGAGAUAGCUGGUUCUCCCCGAAAGCUAUUUAGGUAGCGCCUCGUGAAUUCAUCUCCGGGGGUAGAGCACUGUUUCGGCUAGGGGGCCAUCCCGGCUUACCAACCCGAUGCAAACUGCGAAUACCGGAGAAUGUUAUCACGGGAGACACACGGCGGGUGCUAACGUCCGUCGUGAAGAGGGAAACAACCCAGACCGCCAGCUAAGGUCCCAAAGUCAUGGUUAAGUGGGAAACGAUGUGGGAAGGCCCAGACAGCCAGGAUGUUGGCUUAGAAGCAGCCAUCAUUUAAAGAAAGCGUAAUAGCUCACUGGUCGAGUCGGCCUGCGCGGAAGAUGUAACGGGGCUAAACCAUGCACCGAAGCUGCGGCAGCGAACGUAUCACCCAAGACAACUUUACGGAGUUGACGAUUGACGGAGCGAAGCGACGUCAAAGCGUUCAUUAAAGUCGAGUUGGCUUAGGGAUACGUUCGUUGGGUAGGGGAGCGUUCUGUAAGCCUGUGAAGGUGUGUCGUGAGGCAUGCUGGAGGUAUCAGAAGUGCGAAUGCUGACAUAAGUAACGAUAAAGCGGGUGAAAAGCCCGCUCGCCGGAAGACCAAGGGUUCCUGUCCAACGUUAAUCGGGGCAGGGUGAGUCGACCCCUAAGGCGAGGCCGAAAGGCGUAGUCGAUGGGAAACGGGUUAAUAUUCCCGUACUUGGUGUUACUGCGAAGGGGGGACGGAGAAGGCUAUGUUGGCCGGGCGACGGUUGUCCCGGUUUAAGCGUGUAGGUGUGUGUUCCAGGUAAAUCCGGUUCACUUUAACACUGAGGCGUGACGACGAGGCACUACGGUGCUGAAGCAACAAAUGCCCUGCUUCCAGGAAAAGCCUCUAAGCAUCAGGUAACAUCAAAUCGUACCCCAAACCGACACAGGUGGUCAGGUAGAGAAUACCAAGGCGCUUGAGAGAACUCGGGUGAAGGAACUAGGCAAAAUGGUGCCGUAACUUCGGGAGAAGGCACGCUGACACGUAGGUGAAGUGAUUUACUCAUGGAGCUGAAGUCAGUCGAAGAUACCAGCUGGCUGCAACUGUUUAUUAAAAACACAGCACUGUGCAAACACGAAAGUGGACGUAUACGGUGUGACGCCUGCCCGGUGCCGGAAGGUUAAUUGAUGGGGUCAGCGCAAGCGAAGCUCCUGAUCGAAGCCCCGGUAAACGGCGGCCGUAACUAUAACGGUCCUAAGGUAGCGAAAUUCCUUGUCGGGUAAGUUCCGACCUGCACGAAUGGCGUAAUGAUGGCCAGGCUGUCUCCACCCGAGACUCAGUGAAAUUGAACUCGCUGUGAAGAUGCAGUGUACCCGCGGCAAGACGGAAAGACCCCGUGAACCUUUACUAUAGCUUGACACUGAACAUUGAGCCUUGAUGUGUAGGAUAGGUGGGAGGCUUUGAAGUGUGGACGCCAGUCUGCAUGGAGCCGACCUUGAAAUACCACCCUUUAAUGUUUGAUGUUCUAACGUGGACCCGUAAUCCGGGUUGCGGACAGUGUCUGGUGGGUAGUUUGACUGGGGCGGUCUCCUCCUAAAGAGUAACGGAGGAGCACGAAGGUUGGCUAAUCCUGGUCGGACAUCAGGAGGUUAGUGCAAUGGCAUAAGCCAGCUUGACUGCGAGCGUGACGGCGCGAGCAGGUGCGAAAG